GGCAUGCCCGGUAGCUAAAUGCGGAAGAGAUAAGUGCUGAAAGCAUCUUAAGCACGAAACUUGCCCCGACGAUGAGUUCUCCUGAGACUUUAGGUCUCCUGAAGGAACGUUGAAGACGACGACGUUGAUAGGCCGGGUGUGUAAGCGCAGCGAUGCGUUGAGCUAACCGGUACUAAUGAACCGUGAGGCUUAACCUUACAACGCCGAAG
This 209-nucleotide ribosomal RNA is filed under the name Salmonella enterica subsp. enterica serovar Enteritidis str. 10-34587. RNAcentral's name for it is "partial 23S ribosomal RNA". It matches the Rfam family "Bacterial large subunit ribosomal RNA", at positions 2734 to 2925 of the family's 2925-position model. Lineage: Bacteria; Pseudomonadati; Pseudomonadota; Gammaproteobacteria; Enterobacterales; Enterobacteriaceae. The record is from RNAcentral.